Molecule: transfer RNA, 62 nt
Filed under: Pentatoma metallifera
Lineage: Eukaryota; Metazoa; Arthropoda; Insecta; Hemiptera; Pentatomidae
Description: tRNA-Cys
Source: RNAcentral
AGCUUUAUAGUCAAUAAAAUGAUAUUAGACUGCAAUUCUAAAGUAGGUAAAUCCUAAAGCUU